AGCGAACGCUGGCGGCAGGCCUAACACAUGCAAGUCGAACGAACCUUUCGGGGUUAUUGGCGGACGGGUGAGUAACACGUGGGAACGUGCCUUUAGGUUCGGAAUAACUCAGGGAAACUUGUGCUAAUACCGAAUGUGCCCUUCGGGGGAAAGAUUUAUCGCCUUUAGAGCGUCCCGCGUCUGAUUAGCUAGUUGGUUGAGGUAAUGGCUCACCAAGGCGACGAUCAGUAGCUGGUCUGAGAGGAUGAUCAGCCACAUUGGGACUGAGACACGGCCCAAACUCCUACGGGAGGCAGCAGUGGGGAAUCUUGCGCAAUGGGCGAAAGCAUGACGCAGCCAUGCCGCGUGAAUGAUGAAGGUCUUAGGAUUGUAAAAUUCUUUCACCGGGGACGAUAAUGACGGUACCCGGAGAAGAAGCCCCGGCUAACUUCGUG
Molecule: ribosomal RNA, 434 nt
Filed under: uncultured bacterium
Lineage: Bacteria
Description: partial 16S ribosomal RNA
Rfam family: Bacterial small subunit ribosomal RNA
Source: RNAcentral